Molecule: long non-coding RNA, 1878 nt
Organism: Panicum virgatum (switchgrass)
Lineage: Eukaryota; Viridiplantae; Streptophyta; Magnoliopsida; Poales; Poaceae
Exons: 3
Source: RefSeq, a predicted model, not a curated record
CGUUAAAAGGUUGCUUUUGCUAGAAGCCAUUAUAAAAAUGUGUCUUUGUUGAAGGACACCGAAAAACUAUACCCAUUUGCUCACAGACAUUGUAGGCACUAUUCUAUUCAAUUUAAUUGGAGAGUGAUGAAAAAUGACAGUGUUACCCUUGUUAACUUAUCUCUCCUCUCCUGUUCUCCUGUUCUCCUCUCCCGUGGUUCAGGGAGGACCGAUGCGCCAGUCCGGCGGCGCCCCUCCCAGCGAUUGAAGGUCCUGCACCCAAAUCAAGGCCCAACCGAUUGAAUCGAGGUCUAACGCGAUCGAAUCAGGGUCCCGUGCAGCCAGAUUGAGUUUGGGUGCGGCAUUGGAUCUUCACCACCGCGUGCUACCCACCCGCGGCGAGCAAGCGAGCUUCGGCGGCCACCGGCGAACGAGAAACCACUGCAGGAGCGCCCCACAGCUGCGGCGGGUGCUCCAUCGCGCGCUCCACUGACUGCCAGGGGGCGUGAGCCCGAGCUCCAUCGCGCGCUCCACCGCCUUCCGCUCAGCCGCGCAUGGGACCAUCACCGGCCGCGUAGCGAGCUCUUGCAGCUGCUCCGCCUGGCCGCCAGCCGCACAUGUGACCGCCGGCGAGCUCCUCCAGGCUUGUGCCGUGUGCGUUGGUUCGGCUGGAGAAGGAAACGCCCGAGAGGAUAAGGCAGCAAGGGCAAUAUUAUCAUUUUGCGUCACUCUCCUAAUUGAAUUGAAUAGAUUAGUGCCUUCAGUGUCCGUGAGCAAAUAGAUCUAAUUUUUCGGUGUCCUCCAGCAAAGACACGUUUUUUAAUGGCCUGUAGCAAAACCAAAGUUUUAACCAUGUCCCGCGGCAAAUUUUGCCUUUGUUUUCAUACGGCGAAGCGGUUCUCACUCCCCGCAUUCGCCGCCACGAGGCCUGUCCUUUCCUCUUCCUCGGACGCGACGGGCGGAGGCGCGCGAGCGCGAAGACGCCGCGCAGGCGUCGAUCCAGUCCGGCAAUGCUCACGCACUUCGACACUGGCGGUUCUUCCCCAGCUCGAGUCUUCUCCCCGGUCAGCCGAUCGCAUCCCCUUCUCCGGAGUCGUUGCCAUCCCAUUCGCCGGAGCUGUUCGCAUCUCCUUCAUCUGAGUCGUCAGCACAUCCCCAUCGGGACUUUCCACGGUUAGGCAUCUUAUCUCUUCAGUUCACGUCUCGGGGGCAGGGCGUGGCGGAUGCAGACCGCCGCCGCCACCACGGCCGUGGUACCCGGCGGCGGGGCACCAGCAGAGGGAGAGCGGGGCCGGCGGCGCCGGGGCAGCCGGCGGAUUGAGGGGGAGCGGUCGGGAGAGCCACGGUACUAUGGGUGUGUGGCCUAGUUGUCUUACCUUGUUCGCCCGCACCGUCCAGAUGUCUGGUGCUCCUCUACUGCACCGACACUGGUUAAUUAGGAUCCGUGGUGGGAAGAUCAAAACUAGACCAACGUGGUACUGGUAUACCAAUGGUGUAGCCACUGCUGCAAUCUGGUGCUCCGAAACUGAAGAUGUUCCUAUUCUUCUACAAUCUGAGAGAAGCAUGAUGGCACACAGAGGAGCUCUUAGAACGCAAGAUGGAGUGCUCAGGGAAGCUCCGGAAACCAGAAUGGGGACGCAGAGCACAUGCUGAUGACCAUGCACCUUUAGGAAUUAGAUGCUUUGCGAUAUGAUCGAAAAGAAUAAUGUUACGUAGUAGACUCAAUUAUUUUAAUUGCACAAACUGAGAUCUGAUGCUUUUCCGGUCGUUGAGAUAGCUUUGAUUAUCCAGUUGCUUUUUUUUUCCGAUAUAGGACGGCAUACCGCAUAUGCAACCUUUUGGUUUGAACAAUAUAUAUGUUCCGGUCAAGGUAAGAGUACUCAGGCCAUGAGGAUGAUA